This 496-nucleotide ribosomal RNA is filed under the name uncultured bacterium. RNAcentral describes it as "partial 16S ribosomal RNA". It matches the Rfam family "Bacterial small subunit ribosomal RNA", at positions 28 to 506 of the family's 1533-position model. The record is from RNAcentral.
GAUGAACGCUGGCGGCGUGCCUAAUACAUGCAAGUCGAGCGAACAGACGAGGAGCUUGCUCCUCUGACGUUAGCGGCGGACGGGUGAGUAACACGUGGAUAACCUACCUAUAAGACUGGGAUAACUUCGGGAAACCGGAGCUAAUACCGGAUAAUAUAUUGAACCGCAUGGUUCAAUAGUGAAAGACGGUUUUGCUGUCACUUAUAGAUGGAUCCGCGCCGCAUUAGCUAGUUGGUAAGGUAACGGCUUACCAAGGCAAUGAUGCGUAGCCGACCUGAGAGGGUGAUCGGCCAAACUGGAACUGAGACACGGUCCAGACUCCUACGGGAGGCAGCAGUAGGAAAUCUUCCGCAAUGGGCGAAAGCCUGACGGAGCAACGCCGCGUGAGUGAUGAAGGUCUUCGGAUCGUAAAACUCUGUUAUUAGGGAAGAACAAAUGUGUAAGUAACUAUGCACGUCUUGACGGUACCUAAUCAGAAAGCCACGGCUAACUACGU